This 119-nucleotide ribosomal RNA is filed under the name Strigops habroptila (Kakapo). Lineage: Eukaryota; Metazoa; Chordata; Aves; Psittaciformes; Psittacidae. The record is from RNAcentral.
GCCUAUGGCCACACCACCCUGAAAAUGCCCGAUCUCAUUUGAUCUCAGAAGUUAAGCAGGGUUGGGCUCAGGUCGUACUUGGAUGGGAGACUGCCUGGGAAUCCCAGGUGCUGUAGGCU